CACAUGCAAGUCGAACGGUAGGGGGGGCAACCCCUCGAGAGUGGCGAACGGGUGAGUAAUAUAUCGGAACGUGCCCAGUCGUGGGGGAUAACGUAGCGAAAGUUACGCUAAUACCGCAUACGAUCUACGGAUGAAAGCGGGGGACCGUAAGGCCUCGCGCGAUUGGAGCGGCCGAUAUCAGAUUAGGUAGUUGGUGGGGUAAAGGCUCACCAAGCCAACGAUCUGUAGCUGGUCUGAGAGGACGACCAGCCACACUGGAACUGAGACACGGUCCAGACUCCUACGGGAGGCAGCAGUGGGGAAUUUUGGACAAUGGACGCAAGUCUGAUCCAGCCAUUCCGCGUGCAGGAUGAAGGCCCUCGGGUUGUAAACUGCUUUUGUACGGAACGAAAAGGUCUCUCUUAAUACGAGGGGCUCAUGACGGUACCGUAAGAAUAAGCACCGGCUAACUACGUGCCAGCAGCCGCGGUAAUACGUAGGGUGCAAGCGUUAAUCGGAAUUACUGGGCGUAAAGCGUGCGCAGGCGGUUAUGUAAGACAGAGGUGAAAUCCCCGGGCUCAACCUGGGAACUGCCUUUGUGACUGCAUAGCUAGAGUACGGUAGAGGGGGAUGGAAUUCCGCGUGUAGCAGUGAAAUGCGUAGAUAUGCGGAGGAACACCGAUGGCGAAGGCAAUCCCCUGGACCUGUACUGACGCUCAUGCACGAAAGCGUGGGGAGCAAACAGGAUUAGAUACCCUGGUAGUCCACGCCGUAAACGAUGAUAACUAGCUGUCCGGGU
RNAcentral lists this ribosomal RNA (778 nucleotides) under uncultured Curvibacter sp. RNAcentral's name for it is "bacterial SSU rRNA". It matches the Rfam family "Bacterial small subunit ribosomal RNA", at positions 52 to 829 of the family's 1533-position model. The record is from RNAcentral. Lineage: Bacteria; Pseudomonadati; Pseudomonadota; Betaproteobacteria; Burkholderiales; Comamonadaceae.